RNAcentral lists this ribosomal RNA (470 nucleotides) under uncultured bacterium. RNAcentral describes it as "partial 16S ribosomal RNA". It matches the Rfam family "Bacterial small subunit ribosomal RNA", at positions 27 to 507 of the family's 1533-position model. The record is from RNAcentral.
GGACGAACGCUGGCGGCGUGCUUAACACAUGCAAGUCGAACGGAAAGGCCCUGCUUGCAGGGUGCUCGAGUGGCGAACGGGUGAGUAACACGUGGGUGAUCUGCCCCUUACUUUGGGAUAAGCCUGGGAAACUGGGUCUAAUACUGGAUAGGACCAUGCUGUAGGUGGUGUGGUGGAAAGAUUAGUUUCGGUAAGGGAUGAGCUCGCGGCCUAUCAGCUUGUUGGUGGGGUAAUGGCCUACCAAGGCGUCGACGGGUAGCCGGCCUGAGAGGGUGGACGGCCACAUUGGGACUGAGAUACGGCCCAGACUCCUACGGGAGGCAGCAGUGGGGAAUAUUGCACAAUGGGCGCAAGCCUGAUGCAGCGACGCCGCGUGGGGGAUGACGGCCUUCGGGUUGUAAACUCCUUUCAGCCAUGACGAAGCCCUUGUGGUGACGGUGGUGGUAGAAGAAGCACCGGCUAACUACGUG